RNAcentral lists this ribosomal RNA (420 nucleotides) under uncultured bacterium. RNAcentral describes it as "bacterial SSU rRNA". It matches the Rfam family "Bacterial small subunit ribosomal RNA", at positions 358 to 770 of the family's 1533-position model. The record is from RNAcentral.
AGAAUCAUUCACAAUGGGGGCAACCCUGAUGGUGCAACGCCGCGUGGAGGAUGACGGUCCUAGGAUUGUAAACUCCUGUCAUUGGGGAGUAAGACUUGUUCGUUAAUAGCGUGCAAGUUUGAUAGUACCCAAAGCGGAAGGGACGGCUAACUUCGUGCCAGCAGCCGCGGUAAUCCGGAGGUCCCAAGCGUUGUUCGGAAUCACUGGGCGUAAAGCGUGUGUAGGCUGCGCGGAAAGUCAAAUGUGAAAGCCCGGGGCUCAACCCCGGAACUGCAUUCGAUACUCCCGCGCUAGAGUCAUGGAGAGGUCAGUGGAAUUCCCGGUGUAGCAGUGAAAUGCGUGGAUAUCGGGAGGAACAUCAAUGGCGAAGGCAACUGACUGGACAUGUACUGACGCUCAGACACGAAGGCCAGGGUAGCG